GAUGAACGCUGGCGGCGUGCCUAAUACAUGCAAGUCGAGCGAACAGACGAGGAGCUUGCUCCUCUGACGUUAGCGGCGGACGGGUGAGUAACACGUGGAUAACCUACCUAUAAGACUGGGAUAACUUCGGGAAACCGGAGCUAAUACCGGAUAAUAUAUUGAACCGCAUGGUUCAAUAGUGAAAGACGGUUUUGCUGUCACUUAUAGAUGGAUCCGCGCCGCAUUAGCUAGUUGGUAAGGUAACGGCUUACCAAGGCGACGAUGCGUAGCCGACCUGAGAGGGUGAUCGGCCACACUGGAACUGAGACACGGUCCAGACUCCUACGGGAGGCAGCAGUAGGGAAUCUUCAGCAAUGGGCGAUAGCCUGACGGAGCAACGCCGCGUGAGUGAUGAAGGUCUUCGGAUCGUAAAACUCUGUUAUUAGGGAAGAACAAAUGUGUAAGUAACUAUGCACGUCUUGACGGUACCUAAUCAGAAAGCCACGGCUAACUACGUG
This 497-nucleotide ribosomal RNA is filed under the name uncultured bacterium. Its description in RNAcentral is "partial 16S ribosomal RNA". It matches the Rfam family "Bacterial small subunit ribosomal RNA", at positions 28 to 507 of the family's 1533-position model. The record is from RNAcentral.